This 690-nucleotide ribosomal RNA is filed under the name Triticum aestivum (bread wheat). RNAcentral describes it as "partial small subunit ribosomal RNA". The record is from RNAcentral. Lineage: Eukaryota; Viridiplantae; Streptophyta; Magnoliopsida; Poales; Poaceae.
AUGGCAUCCUCCUCUUCCUUCCUUCUCCUUGCUGCACUUCUUGCGUUGGUCUCAUGGCAAGCCACUGCUUCUGAUCCUAGCCCACUCCAGGACUUUUGUGUCGCCGACAUGAAUUCACCAGUCCGUGUCAACGGGUUUGUUUGCAAGAACCCUAUGGAGGUCAAUGCAGACGACUUCUUCAAGGCGGCAAACCUUGACAAGCCUAGGAUGCCCAACAAGGUUGGAUCCAACGUCACUUUGAUCAACGUCAUGCAGAUUGCUGGACUCAACACCCUCGGCAUCUCAAUUGCACGCAUCGACUAUGCUCCCAUGGGUCAAAACCCACCACAUACGCACCCUCGCGCCACUGAGAUCCUCACGGUGCUUGAGGGAACACUGUAUGUUGGAUUUGUGACAUCCAACCAGCCCGCCCCCAACAAAAACAAGUUCCUCUCCAAGGUGCUCAACAAAGGUGAUGUGUUUGUCUUCCCCGUGGGGCUCAUCCACUUCCAAUUCAACCCCAACCCCCACCAGCCCGCUGUUGCAAUUGCCGCGCUAAGCAGCCAGAACCCAGGGGCUAUCACAAUUGCCAAUGCAGUGUUUGGGUCAGACCCACCAAUAUCAGAUGAUGUUCUUGCCAAGGCAUUUCAGGUGGAAAAGAAUACAAUUGACUAUCUCCAGGCUCAGUUCUGGGAGAACAACCACUACUAA